RNAcentral lists this transfer RNA (77 nucleotides) under bioreactor metagenome. RNAcentral describes it as "tRNA-Arg". It matches the Rfam family "tRNA". From Rfam's summary of the family: Transfer RNA (tRNA) molecules are approximately 80 nucleotides in length. Their secondary structure includes four short double-helical elements and three loops (D, anti-codon, and T loops). Further hydrogen bonds mediate the characteristic L-shaped molecular structure. tRNAs have two regions of fundamental functional importance: the anti-codon, which is responsible for specific mRNA codon recognition, and the 3' end, to which the tRNAs corresponding amino acid is attached (by aminoacyl-tRNA synthetases). tRNAs cope with the degeneracy of the genetic code in two manners: having more than one tRNA (with a specific anti-codon) for a particular amino acid; and 'wobble' base-pairing, i.e. permitting non-standard base-pairing at the 3rd anti-codon position. The record is from RNAcentral.
GUGCUGGUAGCUCAAUUGGAUAGAGCAAAGGCCUACGGAGCCUUAGGUUGGGGGUUCGAAUCCUCUCCAGCACGCCA